RNAcentral lists this ribosomal RNA (433 nucleotides) under uncultured bacterium. Its description in RNAcentral is "partial 16S ribosomal RNA". It matches the Rfam family "Bacterial small subunit ribosomal RNA", at positions 29 to 507 of the family's 1533-position model. The record is from RNAcentral.
AACGAACGCUGGCGGCAUGCCUAACACAUGCAAGUCGAACGAGACCUUCGGGUCUAGUGGCGCACGGGUGCGUAACGCGUGGGAACCUGCCCUUAGGUUCGGAAUAACUCCCCGAAAGGGGUGCUAAUACCGGAUAAUGUCUUCGGACCAAAGAUUUAUCGCCUUUGGAUGGGCCCGCGUUGGAUUAGCUAGUUGGUAGGGUAAAAGCCUACCAAGGCGACGAUCCAUAGCUGGUCUGGGAGGAUGAUCAGCCACACUGGGACUGAGACACGGCCCAGACUCCUACGGGAGGCAGCAGUGGGGAAUAUUGGACAAUGGGCGAAAGCCUGAUCCAGCAAUGCCGCGUGAGUGAUGAAGGCCUUGGGGUUGUAAAGCUCUUUUACCCGGGAUGAUAAUGACAGUACCGGGAGAAUAAGCUCCGGCUAACUCCGUG